Molecule: long non-coding RNA, 850 nt
Organism: Cydia fagiglandana
Lineage: Eukaryota; Metazoa; Arthropoda; Insecta; Lepidoptera; Tortricidae
Exons: 3
Source: RefSeq, a predicted model, not a curated record
AUUAUGCUCAAUCGAAAGAGCUUGAAAAAAUAUCACUUUUGAAUCGAGAACAUGUAUCCGCAAAAUUCGUAUUGUCGAGUAUUUUGCAUUUAAAAGUGAAAAAAUUUCGACAAAGAAUGCAAAUGUUCAAUUUGUUGUUUGACAUUUGACAGCUCUAUGGUUUCGUUCAGAAAUUGUAAAUAUUUUUACGUCCGUCAUGCAUGUUGGACAGAUUGCUGGUGAGAGUGUGGGUAAGCCUAUUUAAAAAAAACGACUACUGUCAGUGUAAGAUGACACUGGUGACAGAUGACACACAAACAUGUUACAUGUAUUGUGCAUUGAUUGACGGGUAAAACCAUGGUAAAACCAAAACUUUGUGCUUUACCAGUCUGAAAUUAAGUUUAAUUUUCAGUAAAGGGUCUAAAUGUUUGUGACUAACCUAAGCCCUCCUACGUGUACACGCUCGACGCAGCUAGCCAACUUUAUUGUCACGCGUGCAAUAGAGUACCUAUUAAAGGCCAAGUUCGGCCUGGCCAGCCAGGGUUCACGCUAGACAACGUCAACGAUUUAUUUGGGGUCGCCGUCAUCGAAAACGAUGAGGAGGAGGAGGACUAUACUUACUAACGAUGACACGGCACCGCCGCGUAAAACAAACCUAUGCCGAAAAUCAUAGUUUCAAGUAUUUUGAAUGCUGUAGCCAGAAGACUGCCAGACAAAUGUGGAUUAAUAAGGUUGUGGAGAUAAAAAAAGAUACAUCCACACUACAGCAUCCGAAAUCUCAAAAUCAUUUGCUUCUAUAUCGAAUAGCUCUCUGGAUUUUUUUGAUGACUUUCCGGUCACUUAUCUUGACAUAAAUGCUGAAGGAAUGAAU